RNAcentral lists this long non-coding RNA (818 nucleotides) under Homo sapiens (human). RNAcentral describes it as "HSALNT0385350". Lineage: Eukaryota; Metazoa; Chordata; Mammalia; Primates; Hominidae. The record is from RNAcentral.
CUUUGUCUCCGCGGAGCGUCACAAAGCUGCCUGGCUGCCUGGAGGAACAAAGGAGGGCCGGGCAAGAACGCCAUUACCAACUGCAAAUCCACAGGCAAAUGCAAGAGGACAGAAAUCUUGUUAACUGAGUGCCAAUUACGCUCCAGGCGCUGCGAAUACGAGUGGGUCUCCACCACCAGAAUGGCUAAAGUGAAAAAGACCGCACCGUGUGGAGGCGAGAAAGUAGAGCGACUGGACCUCUCUUGUAUUUCUGGGGGAGUGUAAAUUGGUAGAGACAUUUUGGAAAACUGGCAGUUUUCUAAUGAAGCCGAACAUAUGCCACCUCUGUGAUCCAGCAGUUCCACUCCUAGGCUGUCAACACCCAGCAGAAAUGUGUAGGUGUGAGCAUCAAGAGGGUGCAUGGGAAUGUUCAGAGCCCUUUCAUAACAGCCCCAAACUGGAAAUAACCCAUCAACAGAAUGGAAAAUGAAUGAUGCCCUACUCACUACCAUGCACAUAGACACAGCAACGGGAUUGACAUGCCCGGCUACACACAGCAACAUAGACAAGUCGCAUGAUGAAAUCUUGAGUGACAGAAGCCAAAUGCAACAGUACAUACUAGAUGGUUCCAGGUGUAUUACGUUCAGAACCAGACAAAACUAAUUUAUAGUGCACCAAAGUCAAGAUAGUGAUCGCCCUUAGGGUUGGGAGGGGACGAGGGGAGAGCUUCUGGGAGCUGAUCCAGUUCUGUUGUGUAAUCUGGUGCUGGUUCCCUGGGCAUAUGUAUUCUGUGAAAAUCCAUCACAUGACUUAAAUAAAAUGUACAUUACUUAAAUAAA